Molecule: ribosomal RNA, 495 nt
Filed under: uncultured bacterium
Lineage: Bacteria
Description: partial 16S ribosomal RNA
Rfam family: Bacterial small subunit ribosomal RNA
Source: RNAcentral
UGAACGCUGGCGGCGUGCCUAAUACAUGCAAGUCGAGCGAACGGACGAGAAGCUUGCUUCUCUGAUGUUAGCGGCGGACGGGUGAGUAACACGUGGAUAACCUACCUAUAAGACUGGGAUAACUUCGGGAAACCGGAGCUAAUACCGGAUAAUAUUUUGAACCGCAUGGUUCAAAAGUGAAAGACGGUCUUGCUGUCACUUAUAGAUGGAUCCACGCUGCAUUAGCUAGUUGGUAAGGUAACGGCUUACCAAGGCAACGAUGCAUAGCCGACCUGAGAGGGUGAUCGGCCACACUGGAACUGAGACACGGUCCAGACUCCUACGGGAGGCAGCAGUAGGGAAUCUUCCGCAAUGGGCGAAAGCCUGACGGAGCAACGCCGCGUGAGUGAUGAAGGUCUUCGGAUCGUAAAACUCUGUUAUUAGGGAAGAACAUAUGUGUAAGUAACUGUGCACAUCUUGACGGUACCUAAUCAGAAAGCCACGGCUAACUACGUG